Molecule: ribosomal RNA, 497 nt
Filed under: uncultured bacterium
Lineage: Bacteria
Description: partial 16S ribosomal RNA
Rfam family: Bacterial small subunit ribosomal RNA
Source: RNAcentral
GAUGAACGCUGGCGGCGUGCCUAAUACAUGCAAGUCGAGCGAACGGACGAGAAGCUUGCUUCUCUGAUGUUAGCGGCGGACGGGUGUGUAACACGUGGAUAACCUACCUAUAAGACUGGGAUAACUUCGGGAAACCGGAGCUAAUACCGGAUAAUAUUUUGAACCGCAUGGUUCAAAAGUGAAAGACGGUCUUGCUGUCACUUAUAGAUGGAUCCGCGCUGCAUUAGCUAGUUGGUAAGGUAACGGCUUACCAAGGCAACGAUGCAUAGCCGACCUGAGAGAGGGAUCGGCCACACUGGAACUGAGACACGGUCCAGACUCCUACGGGAGGCAGCAGUAGGGAAUCUUCCGCAAUGGGCGAAAGCCUGACGGAGCAACGCCGCGUGAGUGAUGAAGGUCUUCGGAUCGUAAAACUCUGUUAUUAGGGAAGAACAGAUGUGUAAGUAACUGUGCACAUCUUGACGGUACCUAAUCAGAAAGCCACGGCUAACUACGUG